Non-coding RNA from Desulfobacula sp., 72 nucleotides. The record is from Rfam. NCBI's taxonomy places the organism in Bacteria, Pseudomonadati, Thermodesulfobacteriota, Desulfobacteria, Desulfobacterales, Desulfobacteraceae.
AGGCGCGUAACUCAGUGGUAGAGUGCUACCUCGACACGGUAGAAGUCAGCGGUUCAACCCCGCUCGUGCCUA